RNAcentral lists this ribosomal RNA (718 nucleotides) under Demodex folliculorum. RNAcentral describes it as "SSU rRNA". It matches the Rfam family "Eukaryotic small subunit ribosomal RNA", at positions 86 to 799 of the family's 1831-position model. Lineage: Eukaryota; Metazoa; Arthropoda; Arachnida; Trombidiformes; Demodicidae. The record is from RNAcentral.
ACCGCGAAAAGCUCAUUAAAUCAGUUACGGUUCAUUGGAUAUUAAUUUUUUACAUGGAUAACUGUGGUAAAUCUAGAGCUAAUACGUGCACAAAAGCUUUGACCUUUUAGGAAAAAGCGCAUUUAUUAGACCAAGACCAAUGGUCCUUGUGACCUCAAACUUGGUGACUCUGAAUAACUGAGCUAAUCGCAUGGCCUAUGCGCCGGCGAUAUAUCCUUAAAGCGUCUGCCUUAUCAACUGUAGAUGGUAGGUUAUGUGCCUACCAUGGUUGUAACAGGUGACGGGGAAUCAGGGUUCGAUUCCGGAGAGGGAGCCUGAGAAACGGCUACCACAUCCAAGGAAGGCAGCAGGCACGCAAAUUACCCACUCUCAGAACGAGGAGGUAGUGACGAAAAAUAACAAUACGGGACUAUUAAUAGGCCCCGUAAUUGGAAUGAGUACAAUAUAAAUCCUUUAACGAGGAUCUAUUGGAGGGCAAGUCUGGUGCCAGCAGCCGCGGUAAUUCCAGCUCCAAUAGCGUAUAUUAAAGUUGCUGCGUUUAAAAAGCUCGUAGUUGUAUCUCAGUUCAUGUCAAUUGGUCAAUCACUUAAUAGUGAUUACUUUUUGACUGAACAUUAAACCGAUUUGUUUUCUGAUGCUCUUUACCGGGUGUUAUUAACGAUCGGGAUCUUUACUUUGAAAAAAUUAGAGUGCUCAAAGCACGUAACAAGGUUUUCGU